UUUGAGUUUGAUCCUGGCUCAGGACGAACGCUGGCGGCGUGCUUAACACAUGCAAGUCGAACGAUGAAGAGGAGCUUGCUCCUUGGAUUAGUGGCGAACGGGUGAGUAACACGUGAGCAAUCUGCCCUUGACUCUGGGAUAAGCGUUGGAAACGACGUCUAAUACCGGAUACGACCCUCGGAGGCAUCUCCUGGGGGUGGAAAGAAUUUUGGUCAAGGAUGAGCUCGCGGCCUAUCAGCUUGUUGGUGAGGUAAUGGCUCACCAAGGCGACGACGGGUAGCCGGCCUGAGAGGGUGACCGGCCACACUGGGACUGAGACACGGCCCAGACUCCUACGGGAGGCAGCAGUGGGGAAUAUUGCACAAUGGGCGAAAGCCUGAUGCAGCAACGCCGCGUGAGGGACGACGGCCUUCGGGUUGUAAACCUCUUUUAGUAGGGAAGAAGCGAAAGUGACGGUACCUGCAGAAAAAGCACCGGCUAACUACGUGCCAGCAGCCGCGGUAAUACGUAGGGUGCAAGCGUUGUCCGGAAUUAUUGGGCGUAAAGAGCUCGUAGGCGGUUUGUCGCGUCUGCUGUGAAAACCCGAGGCUCAACCUCGGGCCUGCAGUGGGUACGGGCAGACUAGAGUGCGGUAGGGGAGAUUGGAAUUCCUGGUGUAGCGGUGGAAUGCGCAGAUAUCAGGAGGAACACCGAUGGCGAAGGCAGAUCUCUGGGCCGUAACUGACGCUGAGGAGCGAAAGCAUGGGGAGCGAACAGGAUUAGAUACCCUGGUAGUCCAUGCCGUAAACGUUGGGAACUAGAUGUGGGGACCAUUCCACGGUCUCCGUGUCGCAGCUAACGCAUUAAGUUCCCCGCCUGGGGAGUACGGCCGCAAGGCUAAAACUCAAAGGAAUUGACGGGGGCCCGCACAAGCGGCGGAGCAUGCGGAUUAAUUCGAUGCAACGCGAAGAAC
RNAcentral lists this ribosomal RNA (952 nucleotides) under uncultured bacterium. Its description in RNAcentral is "bacterial SSU rRNA". It matches the Rfam family "Bacterial small subunit ribosomal RNA", at positions 1 to 969 of the family's 1533-position model. The record is from RNAcentral.